Heterocephalus glaber (naked mole-rat) is the source of this 8521-nucleotide non-coding RNA. The record is from RefSeq and is a predicted model, not a curated record. Lineage: Eukaryota; Metazoa; Chordata; Mammalia; Rodentia; Bathyergidae.
GAGGCGCAACGCUGUUGCUGGGCCAGGUGUGAUCCAGCCUGAAGGCCCAGCCUAGGCAUCAGGGUGAGGGGCGGGGCGGGGCAUGCUCACGGCACCUGCUGUGUGCCUUACCUGGCACUGCUUGCUUCAGUCACCCUACUCACCUGGGCUGGCCGGCCCCCAGGUGGCCAAGCCCCUCCGGGCCCGGGGCUCCAGGUCCAGCACCUUGGCCCUGCUGCUCUGCUCUGGCCUCCUUCCUGUGGUCACUCUCCUUGCUCCACGCCUCCUCCUCCCAGGCCUGCGGGGCCUCUUUGCUGUGGGAAGAUCCGGCCUCUGGCUUCUCUCGGGCCUGGACGCCUGUCGGGCAGCCCCUUCCAGGGGGCUGAGGCAGCACCAUGUCCGUGUCACAGAUGAGUGAGGCGUGCUGGGUGUGAAGGCCCUUGUGCAGGGAGGGCCUCCGGUAGAGCCGGGCUGGGUGGGUGGGAACUGCUCCCUGGUGUCAGGGCAGCUGGCAGGUCUGCACUGCUGCCCCUGAAGGCCCUGAGCCUGGGCCUGGGGGUGGGGGGGAAUCGGGCAGAGGGCUUGAGAGGGUCUGAAGGCCCCAGCAUGUGCAGAGGCCCUGGGCCUGAGGAGGCCAGGCCGGAGGAGAGUACUAGGCCUGGGGGAGCUGCGUGUGGGGGCCGGGUGGCGGGGCCCUGCGAGGUCCCUGUCUUCAUCCUGAGCAUCAGCAGGGUCCAAGCACAGGGGCCUCGUGGUCAGACCUGCUCGGCCUGGCACCUGGAGAGCUGGGCCGAGGGCCGAGGCAGAUGCCCUGGCCCAGCCCAGCUGAGGGCGUGGAGCCCAUCGCACCCCUGCUGUCCGCUCCAGUCCGCGGCUCACCACACCCUGCAUCCGGCGCCACCUGCCCUGUUGCCCCACCUGCAUCUCUGUGACACUGACUCCGCAGUGCCUGAUAUGCUCUGGAUCCCUCCGGUCCGUGGCCGUCGCAGGACGGCAAGGGGACAAGAGGGCAGCCUGAGCGCCUGUCUAGAAGACCACAUGCCAGCGGGCACAGGCCGCUGCCCACGCUGGGGAGGCCGGAGCUGGGCUUGGCGCUCUCUCCAGCACUUGGUCUGGUGUUCGUCCCUGCCUGGCCCCACCCCAGCCUGGGAGGGCAGAGCGCCCAUGUGCAGGUGCCACCUGGGCAGGGCUCAGCCCAGUGGUCGUGGUUGGCGGGAAGGCAAGUGGAGCUCAGAGUUGACCCAGGCUGCCCAGGGCUGAGCCACCUGGAGGGCUGGGAUGGGGGUGAGGGUCGCCGCUCCUGGGAAAGGCGUGUGGCUGCUGCCCCCAGGAGCCCAUUGUGGGUACUGCACCUAGGAUGUGCUGGGCUGCACCUUGACCCAUCGGGAAACCGGGUUUCACCCGGGGCUCGGCAGGAUGUGGGUCUCAGUCCCACCUGCCCUUUUCUGCCAAACCCCAGAACCUGCUCGGUCUCCACAGAUUGGUCCCCGACCACCCUCUGCGCCCCUGGCCUGCAGACUCCCCGAGUGGGCUCUGCCUGCAGUGAGUAGAGCCAGGCAGGGGUGGUGGCAGGAAGUCCCCAGGGAGCCUCGAGGUUCUUGUCCAGGGCCUGCAGCUCUGAGGCUCGUCAGCCAAAGGACAGAAGACAGUGGCAGAGAGGAGACCACAAGGGGACAGCGAGGGGCACUGGCGAUCCCAGAUCUCUGCCAGCCAAGAGGACCAGCUCAUCUUUAGCUCACUAAAGAGAUCAGGCUUGCCAGCCAAGAUGUGCACUGCUAGUGGAAAUAUCUCUUAAAAAGGGUGAAAUAAAGAUGCUUUAAGACCAGUGUUGAAGUUUCAUCAUCAACAGACCUAGAGUACAAGAAAUGCCUAGGUUGGAAAUAUUCAGGCUGAAAGAAAAUGAUGGGUGUAAACUUAGGUCAGACAAGGAAGAGAAGCCCGCCAGAAAUCACAGUAUGUGGGUGUAGGAGAGAUGUUUUCCCUGUGCAUUAAUUUUUUCUUUAAAAGAUAUUAUUUAAAGCAAAAUGUAAAAGGAGAAUGUAUUAUAAUAAAAGCACAAAAGACAGGCAGAGACAAUGGAAAUGUCAUUGUAAAGUUCAUACAUUUUACAUACUAUGGCAUAAUGUCACUUACAGAUAAAUAAUAAUAAGGAAAAAUACUGAAAACACUAGAACAGACACUAAAAAUUAAGACAGAGUCAUAGCUAAUAAGCCGAGAGAAAAGGCAACACAGAAUGAGGAAAUAUUAAUAUUAAUCCAAGAAUCAAGAGCAACACAUUGACCUGUAUCCAUCGAUAUCAGUAAUUAUAUUAAAUGUGAAUGGGUUAAACAUAACUGAUUAAAAGAUAAAGACUGUCAGACUAGACAAAAGCAAAACCGAAUUAUUUGAUGCUUAUUAUUAAAAAAGAUUCAAACAGAAAGACAAGGAUAGAGCCGAGGUCAAAGCAGGUCGAAGAUCACGAGAAAGGCGUGGUCAUAUUAGUGUCAGACAUGUGGACUUUGGAACAGGAACAUUGCUGAAGGAAAGGGGGACUUGUCAUAGUGACAAAGGACUUGGUGGAUCAAGAAGACCACAAUCCUGCAUGUUCCCACACAGUAACUACAGGCUUUCAAAAUGCAUGCAAAAAGAGAUGACCCAGACCAGACUGGAAGGGAAAACCUCUCCCAGCAAAUGAUGGAACAAGAAGGUGGAAAAAUCAGCUAAAGACUUGCCCAGCUCCUCCUGACUGACAUGCAUCGAGCCCGGUGCCUGUCGAUUGCAGAAUUCACGUUCUUCUCAGGCGUGGAUGGGAAGUUCACUGAGAUGACAGUUUGUUAGGCUGGAAAGCGAAGCCUGGAACAUGACAACAAUCAAAAUCACGCAGAUCAUGUUCCCUGACCGCAACAGGACAGAUGUGGAGACCAAUAGCACUAUAGUAUUUGUGAAAUUCCUGAAUAUUUGAAAAUUAAAUAAGGCAAAGUAACCUAAAGGUCAGAGGAAAAACUGCAGGAGGUAUUACAAAAUGCCUUGAACUGAGUUAUGAUGAUAAAACAAAAUGUGUGGGAUGUGCCUGCAGCCGUGUAUCAAGGGAAAUGUAUGGCUUCAAAUGCUUAUGUUAGAAAAGCCAUAUUAGAAAUCAGAGUUCUGCACUUUCAUCUUUAAAUGUUAGUGCCCGGUGUGGUGGUGCACACCUGUAAUUCCAGCACUUGGGAGGUUGAGGCAGGAGGAUCAUCGUGAGUUUGAGGCCAGCCUGGGCUACAUAGUGAGUUCACAGCUAGCCUGGAAUAUAUAAUAAGAUCCUGUCUCAAAAGCAAAAAAAGAAAGUAUAAAUGUUAGAAAUUUUAGUGCAAAUUAAAGCCAAAGACAUAGAAGAAAUAAAGUAAUACGUCAACGGAAAUCAGUGUAGUAGGAAAUAAAUCCACAACAGAGAAAAUCAAUAAAAGAAUAUGAUGAUUAUCUGACAAAAUCAAUAUGGUCGUUAAUCUCAGGUUGCUCAGGAAAGAGAAAAGACUCCAGUUGCCAACAUCAGAGAAAAGAGACACACAGACAGGAAUAAGGUGGGCACGUUGCCGUAGGGUCAUCUUCAAUGAAGCGGGCAACUCCUCGAAGGACAGGAGUUCAUCAUAAUUUGUGCAAGGAUAGACAGAAAAAAAUAGAAUUAUUACAACCAACAAACGAGCGACACCUUCCUCAAAGGAGGUGCCAGACCCUGAGGGCACGGCACUGAAUUCAGUCAAUGGAGAGGAGGAAACGGUCCCCAUCUUAGUCUUUUAGAACCCGAGGAAGAGGGUGGUUGCUUGGCUCACUUUCUGGGCCCAGUGUUACCCUGACACCAGCACUGAGCGUGUCCCGAGGAAGGAAAGCUGCAUGCAGGCCAGCAUCCUUUGUGGACUUAGGAGCAGAAGUCCUUAGAGACCACACCCAGCUCUGUGCAUAGUGGAUGAUACUUCAAACCAAGGGUGAGUUCAGUGCAGUAUUUAAAAAUCACUGGGCAGAACUCAGCACAUUCACAGAAUAAAGACAAAAGUCACCAGACUGUAGGUAGAGGAAAAGCCUUUGACCUAUACCCCAUGUAUUAGUAGCAAAGAUCUCGGAAACAGAAAUUCUUUGCUUGCCCUGGAGGGAGUGGACAGCAGGCCAGGCUCUGAGCCGGGUGAAACAGUCCGCUCCACCGCAUCUGCUUCACAUCAUCCUGGCCAGAGCUGUAGGCAGGAAAAGCCCAACAGAUGCCCUCCUCUCUACUGGUGACCUGGAUGUGGGUUGGAGGACCCCAAACAUGAAACACUGCAGGUGAACUUGAGCCCCUUCCAGUCCCUUGGUCUCUUCUCCCUCUCUUUCCUUUCCGGAGGAAACUGCCACACCAAAAUGGGUAUUUAUCCAUCUCAUUUGUCUUUCUGUUCUGUUGCUAUAGCAUGUACAGCCAUAAGGUCUGCAAUGUUGCUCUGUGUAUUUUUUUUUUCUGUACUAGGACAGAACCCAGGUUCUCACACAUGCAAGGCAAGUGCUCUACCACUGAGCUACAUCCCCGGCACUUUUUAUUUUAUUUUGAGACAGACUCUCACCAAGUUGUCCAGGCUGACCUCAGAUCUGCAGCCCUCCUGCCUCAGCCUCCAGAGCACUGGGAGUACAGGUGUUAUGUCCCAUGUGUCUUUAAACUCUGCAGAUGACCUCAAGCAGAAAGUCUGUGCACGCAAGUCCCACGCUGAGUCCUGACAGGGCUCAGGCAGCCAGAGGCCAAGUGGAGCGGCCGAAAGCAGACCCCGGCAGCACCAAGUGCUAGUGAGAACAUUGGCAACCGCAGGUCCUGGGCACCGCUGGCAGAGGGCACAGUGGAGCAGCUCUGGGAAACAGUGUGGUGGUUUUUUCCAAACUGAAGCCUGCCGUCUGGCCAUCACCAUCCAGGGAUUUACUCCGAGUGAACAACUUAUGUCCACAGAAGAACAGGUGUUCAAGCAGCUUAUUUAUAACAGACAAAUCAUGGAGGCAGCCGAGAUGGUCUGCAGCAGGUGGAUGGUGGGGCCAGCCCGAGAAAUCUGAGACGGUCCCUCCCCAGGCACAGCCUGCAGCUUCUCGUGAGCCGCCACCUGGACGCCCAUCAAGCCCCACCUGCCACCUGAGUAUCUCUGCCAGAUCCUGGGUGCCGGCAGCACCAUGGCCACUGCCUGCCCUUCCUUGGUGGCCCUUGUCCACUUCCCGUCAAUGGACAGACACUGCGUGACUUACGCACUGGGCACCUUGAGGCCGGCCUCCGGGUCAAUGCGCGUUGGCUGUGGCCUGCAUUGUAAAAGCUGAUCCUGCUCUGUGCUGUCUCACUGGCUUGCUGGACCUUCCUGGGGUCCUGGGGGACCAGGAAUCUGGGGGCUGCAGCCUGGGUCCCAGGGCUCGGGUGGGGGCCCCAGGUCGCCUCUGGAAAGUUGUUGUAACUGCGGAAUUCAGUUUCCCUAAGGCCCUGAGCUGCAGGCCUGGACUUGUUCUCUUCCCCUUCCGAAUUAGAUCCAGCUGGGGUGCGGGGGAGGAUGCCGUUCAGAGGCCGUGGGGAGCAGAGAUGCAGGAACCCCCCGAGCAACCUACACUGUGGGACGCCCUGUUCUGGGUCCCUGUGGCCACAGGGAAUCCACCUUGGCACUGGCUGCUGUACCCUAAAUAGUACACAUCUCGAGUUUGGGAACUUUUGCUGUGUGAGAAAUAAGGUUGACGGUUCUCUCAGGCUUCCCAGCAAAUGCCCAGUGCGCUCACACUUGGCCCAAAACAGGCCUAAAGGGGAAUGAAAAAGCACUUCUCUUCCCAGAAAACAGAUUCCUCAUUGACACAUUUUCUUUUUUUCCUCCUGUAGGUUUUUCUCCCCCCCUGUUUGCAAAAUGGGUCCUUUUUCCUCGGUCUUUAUGUAAGGAACCGGCAGCAGGACAAAGUGUGCUUGUCAGCAAUAUCCCAAGGCCGCAGUCUCCUUUCCUCUGCCCACAAUGGGGCCAUUAUCGGCCUCGCACUGGUCCCCGGAUUUUUCCUGUCCCCUCCAGGGCUAAUGAGCAGGGAGGCUGCCAGGCCGAACAAAGUGGGGCGGUUUUCACUCAACUGGAGCCCUGGCGUGGCGAGCCCUGGGCAGGGCCUUUACGGGGUGUCCGCCUGUCAUUCGAUCAGCACGAGUGACUUUUGGGAGCACGGCCAUCCAUCAGCGAUUUCCAUAUCGGUUAGGAAUGGCCCCGGUGCGGCUUCCGUUCGGGACUCUAGUCUUGCCGUUGACCCUAAUCGCAUACUCAUUCUAAAACAAAACGGAACGAAACAAAAACUGAACCAAAUUUGAAUGCAAUGGCAAUGGACGGGCAGGUGGGUCCUGCGCACACGUUCACCUAGGUGCACACGUACUUCCCGUUACCGAGCGCACACACACGCUCUCUCGAUCACACGUGUGCUGGUGCUGCGCCCCGCCGCCCGCGCUCUGAAGAGGAACUGCAAGGGUGCGUGAGAGGCGUGCGGGGCUUGUGGAGCUGCCUCUGCUCUCAGCUGAACUGUACUCGUGGAAACUCAAGCUGCCUUUGUUUAUUGUAUUUUUUUUUUCCAAAAGUGGUCAUUUGGAUCAGUGACAGAAAAGGAUAAAACAAACAAACAAGAAAUGGAAUGGAAAAAGGAACUCUUCUCAGAAUAAUGCAAGAAUGUCUUCAUCACAGUAUCACUCGAUGCUACAGAGUUCAUGGCUCCUGAUACCCGGCUGGCUCCGAGGCUCCGAGGCCCCGAGCUGUGCCCCAGCAUCCCAGCGAGGGUGCCCGUGCUGAGCCUGGCUCCCUGUGCCCCACCCGGCAGCAGUGCGGGGCGACUCCUUCUCUCCCCACCCUGAAUAGCACAGUGAAUACAGCUCAGUAGAUUUCAGUCGCUUGGGCAGGGGACAGGGGAUGGGGCCGCAAUCCAGUGCUUCGUGGCUUCGCAUCAGAACACGUGAUAUGUACUUAGCGAGUGCUUUGCGAUCACUCCUGAGAGGCCUCAGGCAGAGGAAGCCACGCAUGGCCCUGAGUUGGCAAGGCUGGACCUGGGCCCACGGCUUGGGUCCACCAGUGCCUGACGAACCAGCUGCAUUCUGGGCCUUGGGAAGGAGGCCCUGCCUGCCUGCCUGUCCACUGCUACACACCCCCAGGGUGUGCACAGGCACCUGCGGGGUGCCACAUGUCCUACUCCAUGGUCCAGGGAUGACAGCGGCUACAGGGUGCCAGGGGCUGGGGCUGGAGGGUGGUGGAGGGGAGGUGCCAGGAGCCUGAAUUUCCGUCUGGGGCUGAGUGCCCGCUGUCCAAAGGAGUUAGGUCAGGGCAGCAGUCGGGGCAGCCCGGCCCCAUGGCAUCCCUGGCUUGGAGCCUUGACCCUGACCAUCAUCUCAGGUAGCGGUCAGCAGCCCAGCUGUCCGGUCCCACCUCUGUCCAUGCUACCAGUGAUGUGACCGCCUGCUGCCCGGGGGGCAGGCUCUCGGACUGCUCACCCCAGGCCUGGCUCCUGCCCCUAGCUGGUCUCCAGGUUCUGAGGACUCGGGGCCUGAGCGAGCUGGGCGCAUCUGGGCCGGUGCUGCUGCCAGGGCAGAGAAGAGCAGGGGCUGGAGCUGGGUCUGGGGCCAGCGUUGAGGCCACGUUUCAGGGAUGUCCCACUGCAGGAGAUAAGUGCUUUCUCUGUCAGGGAUGCAAGGUCAGAGCCUCCCAAAUGCUAAGUGCUGGGGCCUGAGGGGCUGAGUGUUCAGGAGGAGCUGGGGUUGCUAUCACCAUUUCCAGGGGGGGACAAAAAUAUAGGACGUAUAGGUCCAACCAGGGCUCCUGGGAAAGGGGGAAGAGGAGGAUGGUAGAGAAGACAGUGCUGGGGGAGAUCAGCCCGGAACGACAGAACUGGACAGGGGGCUCCAUAGAGCAGUCAGAGGGAAGCCCCUCAAGAUGCACCGAGGUCUCCAUCCAUCCACACUUCCCACUUUGGAGAGUCACAUCGCAAAAAAAAGCACACACCGUAUUCUUUCGCAGAAGAAAUCAUAUAAUUUGGGUUUACAGAAAUGGGGUGUUUGUGUGUGAGGCUGCAGUUUUACAGGGAUCCCAUCUAGAUUAAGAGGAAAUUGGAAAUUCCUUUCCGGUACCCGGCCGGCCUGGAUGCCACGGACGCUUAUGCCAAGGCCUGAGCUUCUGCUGGAAAAUCCUGACGGAGCGUGGCAGUGGCUCCUCCGUGGGCCUCUCCAGUCCAUGCAGGUGGUGGCUCUCCGUCUUGCCAUGUUGCUUGGCUUUAGCAAAAGGAGACCCCUUUCCCAUGAGCUGUGGGUCUGCGUGGCCCACAGAGACUUCCCUGUCUCCAGCCCCCAGGCCAAGCCUGCAGAGCCCGGCACCGAUGCAGGCGAUGUUGGUGGCCCAGAGUGCCUGGGACAUGCAUGGGACAAGUCCUCUUGGACAAGCCCUGCUGCCCCCUUGGACGCACACUGACAGAUGUCCCCGGCCUGACACAAAUCCACACAAACGUGGCUUGCAUCACAAUAGUUUGCAUUUCUGCUCUUCUUUGUUUAAGGGCAACUUGGGCCAUCUUUUUCUUCUCCUCUUGUUGGGACACUCAUUACUUU